Molecule: ribosomal RNA, 349 nt
Filed under: uncultured bacterium
Lineage: Bacteria
Description: bacterial SSU rRNA
Rfam family: Bacterial small subunit ribosomal RNA
Source: RNAcentral
AAGCCCGCAAGGGUAAGUAGAGUGGCGCACGGGUGAGUAACACGUGGACAACCUGCCUUCGAGUGGGGAAUAACCUUCCGAAAGGAGGGCUAAUACCGCAUAACACCUCGGGACACAAGUUCUGGGGUUGAAAAGAGCAAUUUGCUCGAAGAGGGGUCCGCGCCUGAUUAGCUAGUUGGUGAGGUAACGGCUCACCAAGGCUUCGAUCAGUAGCCGUCCUGAGAGGGAGCACGGCCACACUGGAACUGAGACACGGUCCAGACUCCUACGGGAGGCAGCAGUGGGGAAUUUUUGGCAAUGGGCGAAAGCCUGACCAAGCAACGCCGCGUGGGUGAUGAAGUAUCUUGGU